Long non-coding RNA from Hemicordylus capensis (graceful crag lizard), 1090 nucleotides. RefSeq lists it as uncharacterized. NCBI's taxonomy places the organism in Eukaryota, Metazoa, Chordata, Lepidosauria, Squamata, Cordylidae. The record is from RefSeq and is a predicted model, not a curated record. The transcript has 4 exons.
GCUGCUUGGCCGCCGGCCGUGAAGCAGCCGCGUCCCCGCCACGGGGGCUCAGGACGAUGGCCAGGGAGUGAGGCGCAAUUUGCAAGAACUUCUCCAUCCUGCGGGGCAUCUCUGCGCCGCAGGAGGCUUAGGCGGAGACGCCGCGGCUGCUGGACACCACAAGCAGCCGCAGCAGCAGCCGCCUGGCCAUGAGCGCCCGGCACAGCACGGUGUAGCGCUGCCAAGCAGGCGCUGCUCCCUCCCAGCUCAGCCAGGACCGCCCCUGCCGGGCCGGCUGCAGGUUCAGCGCCUCUCUCUCCUCCUGCUCCGCCUUCUCCUCCCCGCUGCUCGCGUGAGACCUGCCCGUCUCCUGGCCAGUGGGAUCGCUCGCUCUGGGACCCCCGCCCGCGGCGCCUCCCGCUGUCCCCUUCCCUCCCUGGAUUCUCCAGCUGGGCCGGGCGGCCUUUGGGGAACACGACCUCUUCCAGAGGCUCUGGGCGGUAUAACAACAACUUAUGGCAACUGGAGACAGACCUCUCCAGAUGACCUCAACAAGUGAUGGGAAUCAUACCGAAGAAGGCGCUCUCGAAGAAGGUAACCUGGACCCAAGCCAUUCAGUGCUUUAAAGCGAUGCUGAGCUGGCACCACAAAGGAAUACCUGGUUUUAAGCCUGCUGUGAGCUUUACAUCUUUGGCAACUGUCUUCUCAUGCGAUUGGAUUGUCACAAUCAAACAGUACAUUUCGUUCAUGAGUGCAGGUGGUUCAUGUCUAAGCUGGACAGAAAUGUUGGGCACUCUGGAAAUGAUCCUUUGAUAAAAAGAAAAGAAAGGCAGAGAAAACUUGAACUGCAACUCUUGUAGCUGUAAUCCAAGAAGCUCUUUAGACCUGCAACAGUCAGAUCUAUUCUGACUUCUACUGCUGAAGAUUCAAGUAUCUUUCUAGUUCAAAAAUAUUCCAGAGGAAAUCAAGGACUGACAGUGCUCACAAAAGGUUCCCAUCUUUUAUCUUCUUCAUACUUUGGAUCACUAAAUGCUGUAUACACUGAAGAUCCAGAUUGAGUGUUCUGUUGGAAGUAUAGCUUUUAUUCAAUUUUCAUUUUUUUAAUGGAGCA